AUGGCUCAGGACGGACGCUGGCGGCACGCUUAACACAUGCAAGUCGAACGGAGUUAUCGAGAGCUUGCUUUGAUAACUAGUGGCGGACGGGUGAGUAACACGUGAGCAAUCUGCCCUUAAGAGGGGGAUAGCAGUUGGAAACGACUGAUAAUACCGCAUAAGAUAGUAGUACCGCAUGGUACAGCUAUAAAAGAUUUAUCGCUUAAGGAUGAGCUCGCGUCUGAUUAGCUGGUUGGUGAGGUAACGGCUCACCAAGGCAACGAUCAGUAGCCGGACUGAGAGGUUGGACGGCCACAUUGGGACUGAGACACGGCCCAGACUCCUACGGGAGGCAGCAGUGGGGAAUAUUGCACAAUGGAGGAAACUCUGAUGCCAGCGAUGCCGCGUGAGGGAAGAAGGUUUUAGGAUUGUAAACCUCUGUUGACAGGGACGAUAAUGACGGUACCUGUUGAGGAAGCUCCGGCUAACUACGUGCCAGCAGCUGC
RNAcentral lists this ribosomal RNA (485 nucleotides) under uncultured bacterium. RNAcentral describes it as "bacterial SSU rRNA". It matches the Rfam family "Bacterial small subunit ribosomal RNA", at positions 19 to 518 of the family's 1533-position model. The record is from RNAcentral.